UACGAAGGGGGCUAGCGUUGUUCGGAAUCACUGGGCGUAAAGCGCACGUAGGUGGACAGUUAAGUCAGGAGUGAAAGCCCGAGGCUCAACCUCGGAAUUGCCUCUGAUACUGGCUGUCUCGAGUCCGAGAGAGGUGGGUGGAAUUCCUAGUGUAGAGGUGAAAUUCGUAGAUAUUAGGAAGAACACCGGUGGCGAAGGCGGCCCACUGGCGCGGUACUGACACUGAGGUGCGAAAGCGUGGGGAGCAAACAGG
Molecule: ribosomal RNA, 253 nt
Filed under: uncultured bacterium
Lineage: Bacteria
Description: partial 16S ribosomal RNA
Rfam family: Bacterial small subunit ribosomal RNA
Source: RNAcentral